Non-coding RNA from Pelobates cultripes (western spadefoot toad), 318 nucleotides. NCBI's taxonomy places the organism in Eukaryota, Metazoa, Chordata, Amphibia, Anura, Pelobatidae. The record is from the annotation of a GenBank genome assembly.
CCCUGCGACUACCCAUGGCGAAAAUUGCGACAAUACGAAAAGAGAUACGCCGGGUACUCUGAAAAGACUCAAUAUCACUCUGCCUUCUGGCCAGAAUGGUAGGCUUAUUAUCAUCUUCCAUACAAGCGAUCUUCCCGGGACCACUCCAUUAUCGGCCCAUGCAACGAGCGAAGGCCCACCACUUGAGACAGGGACAUACAUACGACCACUGGAUUCCAGUAUCAGCAGAAGUGUGGACAGAAGUCCAGUGGUGGCUCUUCCCCAUGGAGGACUGGAACGGCAGAGCCAUAUUCGGACCAAACCCGGACUUUGUUCUGG